This is a long non-coding RNA of Branchiostoma floridae (Florida lancelet), 372 nucleotides long. RefSeq lists it as uncharacterized. The transcript has 3 exons. The record is from RefSeq and is a predicted model, not a curated record. Lineage: Eukaryota; Metazoa; Chordata; Leptocardii; Amphioxiformes; Branchiostomatidae.
AGAAAAACGAAGUAUGGAAAUCAGGAAACGAGAUUUGUACAUGUCUGCCAACCAGACGUAUCCAGUGUGAGCAGCAGACAGGUGGAGAAGUUUCGGUAGAAAUUGGUGGAACGGGUUGGAACACGGUAGGAGGGUCUUUGUCGUUCGUGUCCAUCGGAUUCUGUGGCGUUUGGGGCGUGAACUCCGCCGGAGUGGUGUUCUACCGAGUCGGCACGUACGGUAACGAGCGGGUCCCCGGGACCGGGUGGCUGACAGUAACCGGCGUCGGGCUUGUGCAGAUCAGUUCCGGCCAGGGCAUCGUGUGGGGCGUCACCGCUAGGUACAGGGUCUAUGUGCGAAUCGGUACGUACCAUUGUUCUCGUUACUUGAUGA